CCUACGGGAGGCUGCAGUGAGGAAUAUUGGUCAAUGGCCGCAGGGCUGAACCAGCCAAGUCGCGUGAGGGAUGAUGGUCCUAUGGAUUGUAAACCUCUUUUGUCAGGGAGCAAAGGGCGCCACGUGUGGCGCUUUGCGAGUACCUGAAGAAAAAGCAUCGGCUAACUCCGUGCCAGCAGCCGCGGUAAUACGGAGGAUGCGAGCGUUAUCCGGAUUUAUUGGGUUUAAAGGGUGCGCAGGCGGAAUGUCAAGUCAGCGGUAAAAUUUCGGGGCUCAACCCCGUCGUGCCGUUGAAACUGGCGUUCUUGAGUGAGCGAGAAGUAUGCGGAAUGCGUGGUGUAGCGGUGAAAUGCAUAGAUAUCACGCAGAACUCCGAUUGCGAAGGCAGCAUACCGGCGCUCAACUGACGCUCAUGCACGAAAGCGUGGGUAUCGAACAGGAUUAGAUACCCUUGUAGC
This 458-nucleotide ribosomal RNA is filed under the name uncultured bacterium. RNAcentral describes it as "partial 16S ribosomal RNA". It matches the Rfam family "Bacterial small subunit ribosomal RNA", at positions 338 to 794 of the family's 1533-position model. The record is from RNAcentral.